UAUUGUCUCUCUCACAACAGGACAAAACUUGCUGUUAUGAAACAGACUGUUCUGAUCCAGUUUUUACAAGAUACUUGGGCUCAGGUAAGGGAUUAUUUGAAUAACGCACUCAGAAAAGUAAUUGCUAAGACUAAAUAACCUAUACAUUUGUUUACCUAUCAGCCCUUUCCCCCUCGCGGCGACACCAGGAAGGCAUUGCAUGGAAAAAAAAG
Long non-coding RNA from Oxyura jamaicensis (ruddy duck), 212 nucleotides. RefSeq lists it as uncharacterized. NCBI's taxonomy places the organism in Eukaryota, Metazoa, Chordata, Aves, Anseriformes, Anatidae. The record is from RefSeq and is a predicted model, not a curated record. The transcript has 3 exons.